UCGGGAAUAUUGGACAAUGGGCGCAAGCCUGAUCCAGCCAUGCCGCGUGUGUGAAGAAGGCCUUCGGGUUGUAAAGCACUUUAAGUUGUGAAGAAGGUUGUACGGUUAAUAGCCGUGCAAAUUGACAUUAGCAACAGAAUAAGCACCGGCUAACUCCGUGC
RNAcentral lists this ribosomal RNA (161 nucleotides) under uncultured Gammaproteobacteria bacterium. RNAcentral's name for it is "partial 16S ribosomal RNA". It matches the Rfam family "Bacterial small subunit ribosomal RNA", at positions 355 to 508 of the family's 1533-position model. Lineage: Bacteria; Pseudomonadati; Pseudomonadota; Gammaproteobacteria. The record is from RNAcentral.